AUAGGUAGCGUUUUGGCGAUGGAAACUACAAUUCCCGCAAGGCUCCGGCGCCAGUUUGUGGGGCAGUGUGGGAAUUGUAGGCUCAGGCGCUCAUGAUUGCCAAAACCUGCGCAGGCGUUCCUGGACCAGUCACUGCCUUGCUUGCUUGGAAUCAGCACGUCUCAGCCAGUGUCCGAUUAUGAGAACCAUCUGUGGGACUGAGUAAAAGUGCAGAGCAACAGAUGCAAAAAUGGAGACAGAGUUUGUUGCUCUGGUCACAUAGCUAGAGGCUGAAGAGGAGGCUUUGAACUCAGGUUUUCUGAAUACAAAUCUUGCAGCUUUUAACCCAAGCUAUGCUACCUCCUGAGAUCUAGAGGGCAUCACACACUAGCAUAUCUAAUGACAAAAUGGAUCCAAAUAUACAUUGAAAACCAGGGCUUUAAUAAGCAGGAGUCCAUAGCACCGAUCAGUACGAUCACCAUCUUUCCUACUGGACAUGCA
Neogale vison (American mink) is the source of this 480-nucleotide long non-coding RNA. RefSeq lists it as uncharacterized. The transcript has 3 exons. The record is from RefSeq and is a predicted model, not a curated record. NCBI's taxonomy places the organism in Eukaryota, Metazoa, Chordata, Mammalia, Carnivora, Mustelidae.